This 242-nucleotide ribosomal RNA is filed under the name uncultured bacterium. RNAcentral describes it as "partial 16S ribosomal RNA". It matches the Rfam family "Bacterial small subunit ribosomal RNA", at positions 118 to 351 of the family's 1533-position model. The record is from RNAcentral.
UGAGUAACCUGCCCUUAACUCUGGGAUAAGCCUGGGAAACUGGGUCUAAUACCGGAUAUGACUCCUCAUCGCAUGGGUGGGGGGUGGAAAGUCUUUUUUGUGGUUUUGGAUGGACUCGCGGCCUAUCAGCUUGUUGGUGAGGUAAUGGCUCACCAAGGCGAUGGACGGGUAGCCGGCUGAGGAGGGUCGACCCGGCCACACGUGGGACUGAGACACGGCCCAGACCUCCGUACGGGGAGCAG